Molecule: long non-coding RNA, 40335 nt
Filed under: Ricinus communis (castor bean)
Lineage: Eukaryota; Viridiplantae; Streptophyta; Magnoliopsida; Malpighiales; Euphorbiaceae
Description: long non-coding RNA (RCOM_LNC000341)
Rfam family: MIR168 microRNA precursor family (bases 2112-2267)
Source: RNAcentral
UUUCCCUCCAUAUAAAGGAUUUAUAGAUGCCCAUGCUCUUUGGCAUGCCACCACUAUCCCUCUUACCUACAUCUGGUGGAGUUUCAUCAGAGAUGAUGCUGAGUUCCGUACCUCUAGCCUCCUUAAAAAGGCCAAGUAGUAGUUCAUGGCGAAACUGAUAAAUAUGACCUGACAAGGAAGGAAAAAAACCACCGAUAGUUUAUAGGAUUUUGUAUUCGUUGUUUUCUUGUAAUAAUAUUUGAUUUUCUUAUUAAAAAAGAGGUACUAAAGGGAUAGGAAUUGCUUAGUAUGAUAUUAAAUUUGGAGUGAGAUUUUGAUUUUAAGUGUUUGUGAUGGAAUGAGAUUAUGUUUUUGUGCAGUGGAAUGUAGGCAAAAGCUAAGUGAGGCAUAUCCUUUAUGAGUAUUCUUCAGAGAGGAAUAAUGGCUUUGUGCAGGCUAGUCAACUGCUUUAGAGAUUUUCUUUUUCUUUUUUAAGUAUGAAUAAAGAUUUCCCUUUUUUGACACAUCAGUUUUAGAAAGAUACAUAACCAGAAAAGAAUAUAUAUAUAUAUAUUAAUAUUAUAUUAUAUAUGAAAUAUUGUGUAUUGGAAUAUUACAAAUGCUCCGUCCAUUUUAUAAAAUCCGAAAGGACUCUGCAAGACUUAAGUUGGCCAACCUGUCCGCCACUUGGUUCUGUAUGUUGUAUUAAAAGAAUCAAUGCACAUACAUUUUCAUUUAAUUAUUAGAGUUUUAUUUAUUUUAAUUGUAAAUAUUCUUUUUUUUAUAUAACAAUUACGGCCUAACGUUUACUGGGACUUUACAAUGAUAAUAUUCAACAAACUCUUCUCCUGUCAUGUAUUACCGCCAGCAUUAUUUUGACAAUGUUUGUAAAUUGCAAUUCAAUGAUAUAAAUACAUUAGCUGUUUGAAAGUUAGAUUCAAUUUUUUCACCAUUUUUUUAAAUAGAUAUCAAUUUUUACAUAAAAAAAUGAAUAAAAUGACAAUUAAAUAUGACGACUAAUAAUAUUGUUGACUGUAUAAUAAUAAUAGCGACACUAUUAAUGACAGGGAUAUAAUAUCCAUUAUAAUUAAAUAAAUUAUUGUAUUUAUCAAACCCUAGAUCGAUGUAAAUAAAUACUUAAAAGAUAAUUUUCAAAUCAAGAAUUAUUAUUUUUUGUUUAGUAUAUAUGAGUGGAAACAAAAAAGAGAAUAGAAAAAAAAGAAAUUUAGUUUUUUUUCUAUCACAAUUUAAUUCUAGACGGUGAUAUUUGAAGUAUUUGAUUUCAAAAUAUUAUAGUUUAGUUUUUUAUUUAUUGAAUACUUUGGAGUUUUUAAAUUUUAAUCCUCGCGCCCAUGUAUAAAAAAAGGAAAAGAAAAGGCAACAAUGUUUUAAAUGAGGAUCAUUUGCUAAUUUGAUUAAUCUUUUAAUGAGCUCAGAGAUCAAUUUAUACUUGCUUAAAUAUUCUAAAAUAUCAAUUUGUUGUAAUUCUCAUUUUAUUUUGUUAGACACGCUAAAAUGCACAGUUUUCAACAUAUUGAAAAUGCUCCUCUUCAAAUAAAGUCAAAAAGGCUAAACUUGAAAAGGAAAAUAGAAUAGAAAAAUUGCAGAUCCAUUUCAAAAUUCCAAAUCACAACAAGCGUAAUUCUGACGGCAUGCGCGUAGCUACUAUUUUUCCAUAAAAAUAAAAAUAAAAAUUCAAACUUCCUCACUACACGUUGCAGCUGCAGGUCACGCGCACGUGCAUUUACUGUGGCUCCACGUCGGACCAAUGGCAUCGAAUGGUAAUUUCCCUUUUAAUCCAUGUCUACUUCAAUAUUAAUAACCGUACCUUUUUUUCUCCAAAACCACUAGCUGCUGCUCUGCUGCUGCCUUUAGAAAUUAUGCGUGGAUCGUCAGAUAAACGUAGUCGGUGCACAUCCACGUGUCACAAUCCUCUUCGUCUGUUUCCAUUAUAAAUAACCAUCAGUCUCGUGUAAUAGAGUAGGCGCAGCAUGUAUCUUUCUAUAUUCUUUUAUCUUCUGCCCUUGUUUUCCUUUCUCUCUUUCUGUCUCUCUUGAAAAUUCAACAUCUAUUAUUUGGAAGAGAGAGAAAAAAAAAAGAAUAAUGGAGAAGGGGAGAGAGAGUUGAUUCUGUUACCGGCGGUCUCUAAUUCGCUUGGUGCAGGUCGGGAACUGAUUGGCGUUUCUAUUUCUAAUGAUUUCCAGGUGGCGAAAAGUUAUUGGUCAAGAUUGGAUGGAAAAUGAAUUGGAUCCCGCCUUGCAUCAACUGAAUCGGAGACCGGGGUGAAGGGUUGGUUUCGUGGAUCUUGAGAUUUUAUCUGCUGUUACUGUUCAGAUCUCAGGUUGGGACUUUUUUAUUUUUUUUAUGUAGUUUUUAUUUUCGGUGACGCUUAUUAUGGUGUAGCUGAUAAUUAAUUAGUUUUUAUUGGAUAUUUCGGCAUUCAAUGAUCUGAUAUUAUUUGGCAUUAAUAGAUCUAACUAUCAGAUCCUUUUAAUUAAUUUUCUCUCCUUUAUUCUACUUUUAGAAUGGAGGAUUCGCGCCGAUUCAUAGUAAUUGAAAAUAUUGCACAACAACAUUUAUUUGAAUUUUAUUUUAAAAAAAAAAAACUCCUUUUUGCUACAAUUUUAGUUUAAAACAAAAGAAAGAACUUGUGCCCAAUAGAGCUGGUUAUGUUGCUUGUUAUUGGAAUUUGACCAAUUUGAGUAUGAAACUAUUGAAAAUUUGCUUUGCCUUUUUUAUUUCUCAAUCUAGCUUGUCUAAAGAAUAUGAUUGUUUUUUUAAUGUGAUUUUACAAAGUAAAUAUAUUUCUUUUUUCCUUUUGCUAGCGCUUGAGAAAAUGGCUUUCAAUUUAAUAUUCAUGUCAAUGCUUGUAGAACAUUUUAGAUUUCGCAAUUUCACAUGAAAUGCUCUUUUAUUUUAUAAGUUAUAUCUGUUUUGCUAACUGAUAAAUAUAGUAACUGAGGACAUCUACUGUUUUAAAUUUUUCUCGUUCAGGGCUAAAGGACUUGGUAAGUUUUUUAUAUAAUAUAAUUAAAUAUAAAUGAAAGUUAAUCAAACAAGAAAUAAUUAGGAUAUUAUGGUUUGCUAAACAUGCUCAUAGAUUUUAGUUGUAGACACGAAUAAUUAUGCUUUGGCAUGUACUAAGUUGCAGGUUCUCAGUGUGUCAUAUCUCAUUUUUUUGUUUUGGUGAAUUGUCUACAGACUAUCAAAUCUACUAAUAAGCUUCUAUUCCAACACGGAACGAAAAUGACAAUAUACAGGAUGGAUAGAAGAAGUCGUGAUACUGGGCUUUAGGUUUAAAGUUUAGACUUCCUCUGUGUUUGGACCAAAUCAAUAGAUAAGUUGAAUAAUUUUGCAAAUGAAAUUCAUGCAGAAUUCAUUUAUAAAUUAACAUUUUUCAUUGAUAUACAAUAUAUCAAUGCAUAGACUUUAUUGUAAAGUUUAGAUUUUGUUGUUUUGAAUCUCUUACAAACUUUGAGAAUUUUUAUAUAAAUUGGUUUAGGAUGACCAAUCCCUUGAAACCGAAACUUUAGGGUGGAAAUGAAACUGUUUGGGGUUGCAAACAUGUCAAGUAUGGAUUUACAAUUUAAUUUGGUGGCAUUUUAUGGAAGUCGUUUGCUACAAGGCAACAUCUUUAUGGUAUUUAAAUUAAUUGUAACAUUAUGUUUGGUUCAAAUCUUAUGUGGAAUUUUAAUUUCAAUUACAAAUGAUUUUAUAAUAGAAUUCAUUUGUAAAUGAAUUUUGGUAUUUGGUACAUUUUAUAAUAAAUGUAGAAUUCAUUUCAAAUGAAAGGUAUUUGUGUUUGGUCUAAUUGCAAAAAUCAAUUCAAUGUUUUUGUUUCUUUAAAAAUGCCCUUUAUAUGUAUUAUUUUGUAAUUUAUAUAUUUUCUAAUCAAAUAUUAAUUAAAAUGAGAGAGAGAAGAGAGAGAAAAGGAAAACAUAAAAAAGAGAAAGAGAGAGAACUAAGAUAUUUGAAUAGUGUACUUUUUUCAUAACAAUGACAAACUCAUAAGCUUCGAGUUCGUUUGAAAAUUCUAUCAAAUUCGAUAGAAUUUGAUAUAGUUAUAACCAAUUCCAUGAACCUGAUGAUUUAGACUUCCAAGUGGUUUUUCAUUUAUACCAAACACACUAAAUUUGAAAUUAAAAAUGAAUUCCGUAAAAACUUAUGGAACUCAUUUACACCAAACACAAUGUAAAUAUAGUUUCCAAAUUCUUCUGGUUUCAUAGUAGAUGGUAGGUCAAUGCUGGAUUGGUUUCUCUCUAGUUCUUUCAUGCUUUGUUCUAAAUGUAGUUUCCAUUGCUAUAUGAUGCUGGAACCAGGCUUAAGGUAACUUUUGUGUUUUCCUCUACUCUAUUUGAAGUCAGUGUGAUAACAAUUCAGUUGUACUCUAGAUCACUUAAAAAUGUUUUCAAAGUUCUGUAUUGACAUCCUUGUGAGCCAGGGUGGACAUGAAGGGUAACUCAUGAUGACACCAAAAUGUGCUAGUUUUAAUUGUGUUAUUUCACCUCUCUCUCUCUCUCUCUCUCUCUCGUGCUGUAUGCACGUUUACGUUAUGUAUGUACACUUGUAUUACCUAAACUCUUUAAGGUACUUUGUUUUGAUGAUGAAUGUUUAAUGGUAUUGAUUGUGACGCUUGAGGCUUGAACGGAAAUAUCCUGCUUAAUGUCAAAGCUUUGGGCUUCAUCAACUGCUCAUGUACUGUCCCUGCUCCAGAUUUCAUGGCUAUGGUAUGGUAUCUCAUUUUUCAAGCAUUUCCCAUCUUGUCAUAUAUAUUGUGGUUUUUAUGUGUAACAGUUGAUGUGCUGGAUAUGCAAUAGUGAAGUUUUGCUUGCUUGGUUUUACUGCCAUUUACCACUGGUUAGUCUCUACGUCAGUCGAUGUGUGUACUUGUGUGUUUUGUGUUUAGCAAUCUGGGACCCUUACAGUUUCAUUUUAUUAGCAAAAGGUAGCAAAAGGUUCCACUUUGACAUUGAAUCAUCUUAAUUUUUAUUUUCAUAUGCAUGCAUGCAAACAUUUGGUCUCUUGUUUUAUUGUUUGUCAAAUUUUCUAUUAGUGCACCUGCUUGUUCUGGUUACUAGCACUUGUGUUCAUCCUGGAGGUUGUUCGACAGUUUCCAAUAUAUGGUAUUUGAUCAAAAUCACUUUUAAACCCCCUUCUUCUAGCCCAUCUAUUAACGUACAAGUACUUUUUCCUAAACAACUAGUGGUAAAAUUAAGGCAUUUCAUUGUAUUGGUGAUUUUAUACUCAUCCACGGAAUGUAUAACUAAGUAAUUUGAAUAAGAUCGCUGGGAUUGGCCUCUCAGCGUCUUGAGGUUCAUUUGGAUGAUUGACUAAACAAAGAUUUUGCAGGUCUUGCUGGUUAGAACAAGAAAAAGAUUUGACUCCAAUUCCUUUUGGCAACUUGGCUUUGUUGUGCAGCAUCCUCUUUGAGAUUUGCAGGUUGUCGUCCUGGCAGUACCCUUGUUAAGGUUUAUCAAGUGCUCAUGUUCUCUAACAUGCUGCAGACAUUCCACCCAACUCCCAACCGUUCCUUCUUCCAUCAUUGGAUGAUGCCAAGGAGGACUAGCUUACAACAGAAGUUACAUAUAAACGAUUGUGACUUUCAGUUCUUGAAUUUAAUAAUAAAGAUCCACACUUGAACAGCUCGGUAUAAUUCAUUUUCAGUAAGAAACGAGAACGAGGUGUUUGGUUUGGUAAUCGCCGAGCUUGAAGUGUUUUCUAAGAUGGUGGUUUUUUGCCGAGCUUGAAGUGUUUUCUAGAAGGAUGGUUCUUUAGAGAUUUUAAAAUCAAUUCAAUAACGGUUUUUCAUCCAACAGUUCCAUCGAUUGAUUUGUUAAAGUUUUAAAAUCAACAACUAAUAAUUGAUUUCAAUCGACCAUUGAUUCUAUCGAUUUUAUUUUAGAAUUUUUUCAUAUGUUAUAAUAGUUGAUUUAAUUUAUUCAUUUGGAUAUUAUUAUUUUAUUAAUAAUAAUUUAUUUUAAAUUAAUUUUAUAUAAUUAUCUUUUUAUAAUUCAAUAAUGAACAAUUAUUAUUUUCAAAUUCCACUAAACUAGCUCUUAAUUAAUAGUGGAAUUUUAACUGUUGCUGCAGAUAACUCUCGUUUUCCUUUUUUAAUCCCUUCCUCAUCUUUCUCAAUGGUGCUCCAUUUCAUCUUAUACUAGCAAAAAUGAUAUUUCAUAGGGGGUGUCAAUGACACGCGAAUUUGAUUUGUCAAAUAUAAAAAAGAAAAAUAUGGAUUAAGCUAAACUUUAGUAGGUUCAAACAUAAAAAAGAAAAAUACAGAUUAAGCUAAACAAUAGUAGGUUCAGGUUCGUAAAUAGGUUGAUCUGUUUAUCAACCCAUUUAUGACAGGCUUGAAAUAAGUGGUGUAACGGAUUGACUUAUGAACUCAUUGUAAUCUGUUUAAUUUUUUCGUGUUGUGUUGGAUCGUGUCAAUUCCAUCCAACCCAUUUAUAAUUUAUAAAUUUUAAAAAAUAAAAAAUAGAAAAAUUAUAUAUAAAAGUGAGAGCAAAUAAAAAUAUAAUGAUUAAAAAGCAAAAUAUAACAAAUAAGACCUAUGAUGAUCCUAUUAAAAUUUUUUACUAUUUAUUUUUGUGCCACCUCUUUCACAGAAUAAAACAAAAUUCUAACAAAUAAUUUGUCCAUAUGAAUUUUAAAGAUGCCUUUUCGAACACGUAUUGAGGCUGCAACACGUGCGAAUGGCCUGUAAUGUACUUCCUUAACAUAGAUAUAUCAAAUACCGGAUGCACAUGUGAAAAAUUUGACAGCAAGUCCAGCUUGUAUGGCAUCUCUCCAAUUCUGCCUAUAAUCUCAAAGGAUCCUACAUUAUCGAGAGGCCAAUUUAUCUUUCUUGCCAAACCGCAUCACACCAUGUAUGAGGAACAUUUUCAAGAAUACAUACUCUCUAACACUGUACACCACGUGCUUCCGCUUUCGAUCUGCAUAACUUUUCUACCCGGUCGCGAAAAAUAUGAAGCUUUUCUGAAGUGAUAUAAACUAACUUUGGUUCUCCUAACUUUUAUUCAUCAACCUCUUCCCUACACACAGGAGAUCUGCACUUCCGGUUAUACAAAAGGGGUCAUCUCGAUGCUUACAUGGUAGCUGUUGUUAUACGCGAAUUCAAUCAACAGUAGGUACCAAUUUCAUUGACCACCAAAAUUUAUCACGCAUAUCCGAAGCAUAUCCUUGAAGGUCUUAAUUGUUUUCUUCGACUGUCCUUCAGUCUGGGAGUGAAAAGGCUGUAUUGAAGUCCAAUCCGGUACCAAGCUCUUUUUGUAGCUUUCUCCAAAACCUCGAGAUGAACUACGGUUCUCUAUCAAAUACUAUAAAAAUAGGAACGCCAUGAAGACUAACAAUUAUCUCCAGAUACACUCAUGCAUACUUAGCCACAAAAUAAGUAGUCUUUACCGGAAGGAAGUGCGCUGACUUAGUCAAUCGGUUCAGAAUUAUCCAAAUAGAAUCAUAACCAGUCGAAAUCUUGGGUAAACCUGAUACAAAAUCCAUAGUAAUCCUUUGCCAUUUCUACUCUAGUAUGAGAAGCGGUUGCAAUAAUCGUGACGACUUCUGAUACUCUAAUUUUAUCUGCUGACACGUUAGACACAAACUCUGCCACAUCCUUUUUCAUUCCAUUCCACCAAUAAUUUCCUUUCAAAUCAUUAUACAUCUUGGUGGAGCCCAGAUGUAUGCUGUAAGCCGUAUAGUGAGCUUCUUCUAAAAUCUUCUUUCUGAGAUUAUCUACAUCGGAAACACACAGCCUAGUUCCCAUUCUGAGAGUACUACCAUCAUCUAUAACAAAAUCAUUAGAUCGAUCCUACUGUACUUCUUUAAAGAUUUUUCAUAACUGUGGCUCCUAAUUCUGAGCUAACUUGAUUCUAUCAACGAGCACAGACCUAAUCCUGAAAUGUGCUAACAGUGCUCUCAAUUCCAAUACCUCCAUCUGUAACCCUUGAUUGUACAAUUCUUACAACUCUCUACUUAGGGGUCUCUUCUCUCCAUUGACAUGAGCAAGGCUACCUAUUGACUUCCUGCUCAAGGCAUCUGCCACGAUAUUAGCUUUACUUGGAUGGUAGAGAAUAUUACAAUCAUAACCUUUCAGAAGCUCCAACCAUCUCCUCUGUCUUAGAUUCAAUUCCUUCUGCUGAAAAAUAUACUUCAAGCUUUUGUGGUCCCUAUAUAUCUCGCACGUCUCACCAUAGAGAUAGUACCUCCAGAUCUUUAAUUCAAAGAUUACUGCUACCAUCUCCAAAUCGUAAGUAGGAUUAUUCUGCUCAUGCCUCUUCAAUUGUCUGCAUGCAUUAGCCACUACCUUACCAUUUCACAUCAGGACGCAACCGAAACCCACUCUGAAAGCUUCAUAAUACACCGUGAGUCCACGAGUUCCAGAGGAUAAGGUCAAUACCGAAGCUGAAGUUAAAUAGUCUUUCAACUUCUGGAAACUUCUUUCACACACGUCAGUCCAUUGGAACCUGACAUUCUUUUGAGUCAACUUAGUCAAAGGUGUUGUUAUCCUCUAAAAGUCCUACACGAAUCUAUGUUAGUAGCCUGCCAAUCCUAGAAAGCUACGCACCUCAGUCACUGUGGUCGAUCUCUGCUAGUCAGUCACCGCCUCUACUUUCUUGGGGUCCACUUGGAUACCGUCUCUAAACACAACAUGUCCGAGAAAGGCAACAUUUUCUAACCAAAACUCGUACUUAGAAAACUUAGCGUACAAUUGAUGCUCACUCAAAGUCUGAAGUACCAUCCUCAGAUGCCACGCAUGCUCCUCUUCGCUUCUGGAAUACACCAAGAUAUCAUCAAUGAAUAUAAUGACAAAACGGUCUAAGAACUGCUUGAACACCCAAUUCAUCAUAUCUAGAAAGGUUGCAGGAGCAUUAGUGAGUCCAAACGACAUUACCAGGAACUCAUAAUGCCCAUGACAUGUCCUGAACUUCGUCUUCCGCAUGUCUUCCUCACGGAUCCUCAACUGGUGAUACCCCAAUCUCAAAUCAAUCUUGGAAAAGCAUGUGGCUUCUUGAAGCUGAUCCUUUAGAUCAUCGAUGCGAAGAAGUAGAUACUUGUUAUGAAUCGUCGUUUUAUUCAGCUGCCGGUAAUCAAUACAGAGGCGCACAGUAUCAUCCUUCUUCACGAACAUAACAGGAGCACCCCAUGAAGACGUACUGGGUCUGAUAAAACCUUUAUCCAGGAGGUCCUGCAACUGCUCAUUUAACCCCUUUAACUCGGCUGGUGCCAUUUGAUAGCGCGAUAAAAAAAUAGGUGUCAUACCCGGUACCACGUUGAUACAAAACUCUAUCUCUCUAUUAGGCAGUAAUCCUGGUAGCUCUUCUGGAAAUACAUCGGGAAACUCGCAGACCACCUGAACAUCCUCAACACUAUCUUUUUCUGCCGAGGUAUCCCUGACUAAAGCUAGAUAUCCCUGACACCCACGGUGAAGCAUCAGCCUAGCUGUAAUAACUAACACGAGAUUCGAUGGAGUAGGUACUUGCUCGCCUUUAAAAUGAGACACCGAGUCUCCCAGAAUUUGAAAAGUUACUUGCUUUUCCCAGCAGCCCAUCAUGACAUAAUGCAUAGCUAACCAAUCCAUUCUCAAAAUUACGUCGAAAUCCAUCACGUCCAACAGAAUUAAAUUGGCAACUAAAUCCCGACCCUCAACUGACACCGGACACAAUGGAAAUACAACAUCGGUCUCUAGGGCGUCACUUAUCGGCGUAGUGACCGACAUUGAAACUUGGAGUCUAACUGGUUAGACAUCAAAUGUUAAAGUAAAACUAGGCGAUACAAAAGAAUGGGUAGCCCCAGAGUCUAACAAAACUCUAGCUUCAGAAUAGCAUAUAGGGAUAAUACCUGACACCACAGCAUUAGAGGCUCGUGCAUCCUAAUGAGUGAGUGUGAACACUCUCGCCUGCCCAUGGCCUGAAGCCUGACUCUAAAAUCUGCUCCUAGAUCGGCUCCAUUAGACCUACCUCCAGAACCACGGCCCUGGUGAUAUUCCGGAGCUGAAAAAAAAACUGGUCGGGUCACACUAGCAGACGAGUCCUGAGAAAAAGUUGGCUGGCUAAAGUAGCAAGGACAUGCUCAAGCCAUAUGUCUCAUCUCUGCCACACCUGAAACAGGCUCCGCUCAAAGUCAGGCACUGUCCCUGAUGUGACCUGCCGCACAUCUGACAGGUGUUAGCUCCAGAACUAGAGCUGUUGUAGGCAGAACUCUGCCUACUGCCACUAAAGCCCUGCUCUGGCUUGAAUCCUCUACUACCCUUCUGGUUAUGUCUACCCUUCUUGUGAGUAUGGUAGCCUCUUUGCCCGGCCUGCUGGUUGGAACCUCCAGAGUAGCCUCCACUGUCUUAAUACGGCACAACUGGCUGUGCACUGGACUAACCCUCCAUCCUGGUCUUCUUUUUCCUUCCAUCAUCAAUCCCCUGGCCAAAUCCUCGUAGGGUCAUCUCCAUCUGCCUAGUCAUUAAGUCACUUCUAGGAAGCUGCUCGUCCUAGACUGAACCAAUGAGACAUACUCUGGACCAAAUCUUAAUAUAUACUUGUUAUUCUUCUGCUUCUCGGUCCCCACAACAUAGGGCGCAUACCUACUUAGCUGCACAAAUUGUCUAGUGUACUCUGCCACUGACAAGUCUCCCUUAACUAGUCUCUCAAAUCUCUCUAUGUACUCCUGCCUCACGCUAAAAGGAAUGAAGUACUCCUCAAAUCUGUCUCUGAACUGCCUCCACGAUAAUCCAUCCAAAGAAGGGCGGAUAUGGUCUCUGAACCAGUGAGAUGCUAUCCCCUUCAAAAGAAAACCGGCCAUCUCGAUGGUUCUCUUGUCAGAACAGUGCAAAUCUGAUGUCAUUUUUUCAACCUCAUCCAGGAAGUCCAAAGGAUCCCUAGAUGUCCUAUCAAAUUCCAUGGGUCUCAACUUAGUAUACUCCGACAUGGGAACCUCGUCCGGAUUCCUGAUACCGGACCCAUUAUCGCAGCUCCCUAAACCUUGGACAGCCUGCUGCUGUUAAAAAGCUAACAACUGCUCUAAAGUCCUCUGCAUCCCAGUCAUACCGGCUACGAACACUUCCACAAGGACUCCACCAGCACCGUGUGCCUCCUGAGCCUCGCCUUAAUCUGGUUGGGCUACCGCUCGAGGCCUACCUCGCCUCCUGGUAUCACGGGCUGGGGCUGGUGGGGCCGACUGAGUGGAAACCUCAUCUUAGCCCUUUUGGGGCACUGCUGCUGCUGCAGCCGCUCGAGUCCUCGGUAUAGCAGGGGCUGAAAAUAAACAACAAGAUAUCAAAUCCAACAGACUCUCUAACAUAUAGUACAAAUACUAGAAUCAAUAAAACACGCAAGGACGGGCUCGAUUCCUAACUCCGCAGUAGUUAAGGAAGCUAACCUAGGUCAAAGGAGAUCUAAACCUAGGCUCUUAUACCAACUUUGUCACGACUCGAUCUAUGGGUCCAUGACCGGUAUUAGGGAAUGUGUAGGCUUAAGGCCACCAAGACCCGUAGUAAGCCUUACUAGUCGAUAUUUCAAAUAUACAUAUAAAAACAUAAUAUUAUACCAGUCUGACAUGCCAUAUACAAGUCUCUAACUGAACAAUAAUAACACUUCAUAAUUUGCUACAGUCCACAUCAAAUUUCAUUUUUCUUUUUUUUAAUAUUUAUUUAUUUAUUUAUUAUUAUUAUUAUUUAUUAUUUAUUAUUCUUUUUCUUCCGGAUACAUUAAAUUUCAAAAUGAGCAGCAAUAAAUGAUUAAACCUUGCUACUUUUAUUUUUAAUUGAAAAGAGAUGACACUAAAGUAUCAAUAUUUUAGAGUUAUGUCUACUAUCUUUUACCUUAAAUUAAUGGUUAAAUACAUAUUUAUACUAACAAUUACAUAUAUAUUUAUACUCUUGAACUCAUAUUGAUUAGUUAAUUUAAUAUUUUGAUUUUAAUUUAAUAAACACUUAAAUUUUAUUUUCUUACUCGUUCAAAAAUUACAAAAAUAUAUUUUAUAAGUCCCAUUUAAAUUUUGAGUCCUACAUGAACAAAUUCCUGUUCUAAUUCAAAAUUCUAUUAUUAUAAGUUUUCUGGUGUCUUCAAUUUUCAAACCUUCAUGCUUGAGCUUCUACCCUAUAAGAUUAUGGUUCAAAUUAGAAAAAUAUUUUUCUCCAAGUUGAAGUUAGAUUUGAAGUCAUACACAAAAUGACAAAUUUUAAAAAAUAUACAUAUAAAAUAGUUUUUGGACCUUUGUUUGGAACUUUUAGAUAACCUAAAUGGCAACUUGCAAGCUCGUAUACUAUUACUUGUUGGGUGAGCCCACUAAAUAGAGCAAUCAUGAGCAAUGCAGAGACCAAGAAUUGACUCUUUUUCUUUUUAUUAUUUUCACUUUUUACAUCGGCUCUAUUAAUUCUGAUUAGUUUCGAUUUUUAAUCAGGUCUAUCUAUUUCUAAAUUAGUGAGUUUAUUGAUAAAAAUCAUGGAAAGGAAUAAUCAUUAUCUUCUUAUUUCCCUCUCUCUUUUCUUUUCUCUUUUUCUUUUCUAAGAAAAAAAUCUUAUCAUCAAGUUGAUAUAUUUUUUUAAUAUUUCGAUAGAAUAUAUUUCUUUUUAACAUUUUAAUAAAAGAUCCAAAAAUAUAUACACAGGUGAGAUGGUGAGUUAAUAUAUAUUUUAUUAAAAAGAUAGUGAAUUAAUAUAGAAUUUUAAAAGUUUAAAUUAAAUUUAAAAAUAAGUAGCAAUAAAUGAUUAAACCUUACUACUUUUAUUUUUAAUUGAAAAGAAAUAACACUGAAGUAUCAAUCUUUAUUUUAAGUCUGAGAAAAUCAUUUUUUUAGAUGGAACGAAAAAUUAUUUACUUUAAGGAGUUAUCUUAUAAAAUAAUACUUAAAUAUCUUUUUAAAUAUAAAAUAAAAAAAUUAGUUUGGUCCUUCACAUUUUUAAUUUUAAUAAUGUAUUACAAAUUAUAUAAUUUUAUUAAUUAAUAUUACGUGAUACAAUACCAAUAAACACCUAAAACAAAUUCUGAAAUUCCAAAAAGGUCCAAAAAGAGAGCCGUGGUGGUAUUUGAAUCACCACAUUCUAGUGAACGAAACCCUCUUCUGUUUCGCAAAGCCCAAACUCUAACCUUGUGAAAACCUCCCCAGUCUCCUUCUUUUCCCCCUUUUUUUUCUCCCUCCUCUCUCUCUCUCUCUCUCUCUCUCUCUCUCUUCUCUUCUCUUCAAUCUCUAAAUCCUUUCCCCAAAUUCAAUUUUGCCUAAUCUUUGUUUUUGGGAGAUUUAAGGGUUUUGUAUCUUUAUCCCUCUGUUUAUCGAUAAGAUCUGCUGCUCAAAUCUUAUCUAAGUCAUGGCUACUGUUGCUCCUUCUGCUGAGAGUAUCCUUUUACUAAUUUUAUUAUAUGUGUUUACUUGAUUUAUGGGUUUUCUCUCUCUAACUUGAUCUGUUUGUUUUGGAUCGAAUUGGGUUUUUAUCUAGGGUUUCAGUAGAGUUUUGUGUUUGGUAAGCUCUUUAUUAUUAGUUUAUCAGCAUUCUCUGGCGUGGUGAUUUUUUUAAUUUUUGUUUGUUAUGCCCUUUAGGUUUAGGUCUGAGGGAUGCGUAUUUGUAUGCUUUAAAAUAGUAAUAUUUAGUGUUUUGUUUUUGUAAUUAAUAUAAAUAUGCAGAUGGGGAUUUUGUUUGCUGCUUUAUUCUUUUAUCCAUGGUCAAAACACAAGAGAAAAACUGUGUUCCCUUUACUUUGCUUUUAUAUAGAAACUGCAGAUUUGCUCCAGAAUUUAUAACUGGAUUCUCAAACAAAGCCCUUGGAAAUUCCUGAGCCAACUAAGAAGGUAACAUGUAUAUCUUUGUAUCAUGUUAUUAUGGAUUUCAGGGCAUAAGCUUUCAACUAUGGGAAUUGAAUAUGUAAUUUGAAUAUUGUUUUAUAAAUUAUAUGCAAACUUCUGUUUACCAAUAUGGGGCUGUUGACUCGGGUAUAAAUUUAUCACUAGAUUCUCAAUCUAAAUAUGUGUACCCCUAUCCAAUCCAAACUUUCGUCAAGGAUCAAUUUCUUCCUACUUUAUUAUCUUACAGGAAAUCCACACUCUAAUUCCCUUUCAGCUUAAGAAUGCUAUAUAAAAAUUGCAACCAAAUCCAUCUCCUUUUCCACAAUCAUUUAUCUUUAUGCAAUCAUGACUCUUUCUACCGUGAUAACUUAUAAUAACUUCUUGUUCCUUCAGUGUCUUUGUUGUAACCGAUAUACUUGUUUUUCUAUUUUUUUCAAGCAGCAUUAAAAUUCAAUAAGGAAAAAACAGCUUGCCUAUAAUGCUUACUAGUCUAUUCAUUUAUGCUCAUAAGAGAAAUCAAUAAAUAAAUAGUAAGGUUAGUUAAACUCUAUUUAAUAAAGAUGAAAAUUGAAAAGCUAACCAACAUUUUCAAAAUUCCAAGUCAAUUCGAUCUCGUAAUGAAAAAAAAUAGACUCUAACCAAUAUAUCUUCAAUCUUUAACUGAAAAUUUUAAUUUCAUGCAUAAAAGAGGUGAUAACAUGAAAGGAAAGGUAAUCAUGUAUGUGGCAAAUACAUGUAAAACUAAGAUAAGUUGCAAAAAUUACGUCGAUUGAUAAACAAACAAAAAAAUUGAAGAUACAAUUGAAGAAACUAAAGAUCAAGAAAAUGGGUGAAGUGUCUUUCUUGUUUCCUUGUUUAUGGUUAUCUCCACUUCUGAAAUGAUUUUACUGGAAAUUACAAAUUGAAUCUUGGAGCAGUUAAAGACUGGAGAGAGAGAGAUAUUUGAUCGAUAAAAGAGAUGCAAAAUAGAGCAUGAGUAUAGACUUCUUGGACCGAGAUGCUAAGGUCUAAUGGGUUUAAUUCAGCUAUAACGGCGUCGUGUUAUUUGUGGGCUUCAUUAUCCUAAGAGAGCACGAAGUUGAUCAAAUGGCUCGAGCUUUUUCUAGUGUACCUUUUUGGUAUGACCUUGUUCAACGACUCGGGAAACUCGUUGAAGACUCACNNNCUUGUGGUAGGCUCACAGCCUAUAUGUACUUCACGGGUAAUGAAGAAAGUUGGGGUAAUGAAGCCCACAAGUAACACGAUGCCGUUAUAGCUGAAUCAAGCCCAUUAGACCUGAGCAUCUCAGCCUAAGAACUCUAUACUCGUGCUCUGUUUUGCAUCUCUUUUAUCGAUCAAAUAUCUCUGUCUCCAGUCUUUAACUACUCUAAGAUUCAGUUUGUAAUUUAUAGUAGAAUCAUUUCAGAAGUGGAUAUAACCAUAAAGAAGGAAACAAGAAAGGUACCUCACCCAUUUUCAUGAUCUAUAGUUUCUUUAAUUGUAUCUUCGGUCUUUUUCUUUGUUUAUCAAUACGCGAUUACCUUUCUUUUCAUGGUAUCACCUCUUUUGUGUAAGAAAUUAAAAUUUAAAGUUAAAAGGUUGAAGAUAUAUUGAUUAGAGUUUAUUUUGUUUCAUUGCGAGAUCAGAUUGAUUUCGAACUUUGAAAAUGUUGGUUAGCUUCUUGAUUUUCAUCUUUAUUAAAUGGAGUUUAACUAACCUUACUAUUUAUUUCUUGGUUUCUCUUGUGGGUAUAAAUUAAUAGAUUAGUAAGCAUUAUAGGCAAACUGUUUUUUUCUUUCAUUGCACUUGCUGUGUGUCUUGAAAAUUGAAUGGCAAAUUUAUUGAAUCUUAAUGCUGCUUGAAAAAAGAGAAAAAAAAGUAUACUGGUUACAACAAAGACACUGAAAGAACAGGAAGUUAUUAUAACUUAUCAUGGUGGAAAGAAUCUUAAUUGCAUAAAGAUAAAUCAUUGUGGAAAAGGAGAUGGAUUUGAUUGCAAUUUUUAUAUAGCAAUCUUAAGCUGAAGGGGAAUUAGAGUGUGGAUUUCCUGUAAGAUAAUAAAGUAGAAAGAAAUUGAUCCUUGAUGAAAGUUUGAAUUAGAUUAGGGGUACACAUAUUUAGAUUGACCGAGCAACUUUUCAUGAUUUACCAGAUAGUGGAAAUCUUUAGGCAGGUAAUAAAUGAAAAAGAGGAAAAGCAGGAAAAUAAUGAUAUCAAAUGAGAAUUUUGACCUUUAAUUUAGAAAAAAGGACUGACUUAGAAGCAAAUCUUGGUGCUUGAACAUUGUCAUGCUGAGUUGCUGCUCUUUGAUAUAUCUUUUUUUAUGAAAAUUUUUUAAAAUAUUCCAGAUUUUAAUUUUUGAUCAUUUCUCAAUAGAUGGUGGAUCGAUAUUGGAUUGGUUUCUCUCUGGUGCUUUCAUGUCUUGUUCAAGUUUUAGAUGCCAGUGCCGGUGAUGCCGAUUCAGUCUACAGGUAUAUAUUCUUUGUUUCCCUUGCUUUUUAUUUUAGAACUGGUGUUUUAUCAUUUUAGGCUUUGCUCUAGAUCAUUUCCCAAGCUUCACAAUUGUGAAAUGUGCUCAAGGUUUUGCGUUGGUCUUCCUAUGAUUCACCUUAUACAUGUAAAGUCAUUUACUAGGAUAUUGACAUUUACUAGUUCAUACUCUAUUGAUGUUAUUGCACAUGUGCUUCAGGGUUAAUCCUCCUUUUGCUGCUUCAGGGGAAUUUGUGAGACUACAAAUUAAUUUUUCAUGUUAACUGAGGAUUUAAUCAAAAUGAUGCCUGGAUCCAUCUAAAGCUAUUUGAUUAUAGUUUUAAUGUCGACAUAAACUGGUUAGAUCCCAAGUUUUUCAUAAAAACACAUGUACAACCACAUACAUAAAUGUGUUUAUGCAGCACUCUCAUUUUGUGUGUACUUGAAUUACGUGACUUGAUAUUUUGAGACUUCACCACUUGCCCAUUUUGCUCAAUUCUCGCUGGAAAUAUUAAGAUCAGUGCCCUUUUUAUGAAAGAUCUGCUAGAUGUGCUCCAAUCAUUGCUAUGACUAGUCAGCAUAAUAUCUCAUUUUCCAGACAUGCAUCUUAUGUUUUCUCCAUCCUGUCAUACAUAUUGAGAAAAUAUGUGUGCUUUGUAAAGCAACUUGUCUGUAAUGGUAAAUGUGUUAUACAUGCAUUACUUGUUAUUCCAUAUCUUAGCCCACUUGUUUCAACAGCCAAGCACCAAUCCAAAAUUUACAAUGUACUUUCAGAUAGUAUACUUUUCAGUGGCUUUACUUUUUUUGGUUUUCUUCUGCUGGUGACUGUAUUAUGCAUCCCUCAUGGUAUCUGUUGAAUUCUUUUCUUAGCAUUUGUUUUGGAAUUGAUUAAUCUGCUUCUAUUUAUCAUGGUUGGGAUCUUCUACGUGCAUUGAAAAGGGUUCAGUAUGUGGAUAGGUGAUAUACUUUUUAUGUUACUGGUAUUUAGGGCUUGUGUUGGACAAUGUGAAAAAUCUGGAUGUGUGGGUCAAAGAUGCUUUUCGCACUGCAAGUUUUCUUCAGAUGGCGUCUCAAUUGAUGGUCCAUGGUAUAUGCAAGAACCUCUUUACUUACGAUGGAAGCAAUGGGAUUGCGAAAGUGACUGUCGCUACCACUGUAUGCUCGAUAGAGAAAAGGAAAGAGAAGCACUUGGCCAUGGUCCUGUCAAGUAUCAUGGUAAAUGGCCCUUCAACCGUGUAUACGGAAUUCAGGUUUGCUGUUCAGUAAAAUCGUCGUUAGUAUUUCUUUUCUUUUUUUGCCGAAGGUAAUUCAGAUCUUACCACAGUUUUCUGGACUGCGCAUCUUGACUGGUUAUUAUGUACAGGAGCCUGUCUCUGUAGCUUUCUCUGCACUGAACCUUGCUAUACAUUUCCACGGCUGGCUUUCAUUUUUCAUUCUUCUUAAUUAUAAGUUGCCACUUAAACAAGAUAAGAAAGGUGUACUAUGAAUAUGCGACUCUGUGGCAUAUCUAUGGGCUCUUAUCAAUGAACUCCUGGUUCUGGAGUUCAGUUUUCCACAGCCGGUAAGCUUAUUCUCCUUUACAUCAGGAUAAGCAUCUGCAAGACAUCUGCAAGCAUAUUGUUUUUUUUAUAUAUAUAUUUUUAUUUUCAUUGCAAAGACAUGCAAACAUAUCUUAUAGAUAGGUCAGAUCUUUCAAUUUCUUAUAUUGAUUGUGUACUUUAAAUGUAGAGAUGUGGACUUGACAGAGAGGCUGGACUACUCUUCUGCAGUUGCAUUAUUGGGUUACUCGCUCAUUUUGGCUAUACUAAGAACUUUAAAUAUAAGAGUUGAAGCAAAAAGGGUCAUGGUUUCUGCUCCACUUAUUGCGUUCGUAAUUACUCAUAUAUCAUUCCUCAAUUUCUAUAAGAUGGAUUACGGUAAUAUAUCUGUCCUCUUAUAGCUAUCAAGUCCAAAGAUUAGUACAGAGUUAUAUUCUGAAUUAUGUAGAGUAGCUUUCCAUCACGGUGUCCUGAGGUUUUCUUUGACCCCAUCUGAUAUGUUUGUUGUGUUAUUGCACAUCACAUUUGAAAGCUAAGAUGGUAUAGGGUUUGGGGGGGGGUUUGAAUGGCUGCUUGUUCCUUUAGGGAACAAUGCAACGGUACUGUUUGUGCAGGGGGCUUAAGAGGUGGAGAGAGAGAGAGAGAGCUGUGCCUUUGAAUUUUUAAUUUCUCCCAGCUCUGUAAUGCAAAUGUUGUCAAAGUUUAUGGUGACGAACUGACAAGACUGUAAAUACUUACUUUACAGGAUGGAACAUGAAAGUAUGUGUCGUCAUGGGAGUGGCUCAGCUUCUCAUAUGGGCAAUUUGGGCUGGUGUCAGCCGUCAUCCUUCUCGGUGGAAGUUGUGGAUGGUGGUCGUAGGAGGUGGGCUUGCAAUGCUUUUAGAAAUCUAUGAUUUCCCUCCAUAUAAAGGAUUUAUAGAUGCCCAUGCUCUUUGGCAUGCCACCACUAUCCCUCUUACCUACAUCUGGUGGAGUUUCAUCAGAGAUGAUGCUGAGUUCCGUACCUCUAGCCUCCUUAAAAAGGCCAAGUAGUAGUUCAUGGCGAAACUGAUAAAUAUGACCUGACAAGGAAGGAAAAAAACCACCGAUAGUUUAUAGGAUUUUGUAUUCGUUGUUUUCUUGUAAUAAUAUUUGAUUUUCUUAUUAAAAAAGAGGUACUAAAGGGAUAGGAAUUGCUUAGUAUGAUAUUAAAUUUGGAGUGAGAUUUUGAUUUUAAGUGUUUGUGAUGGAAUGAGAUUAUGUUUUUGUGCAGUGGAAUGUAGGCAAAAGCUAAGUGAGGCAUAUCCUUUAUGAGUAUUCUUCAGAGAGGAAUAAUGGCUUUGUGCAGGCUAGUCAACUGCUUUAGAGAUUUUCUUUUUCUUUUUUAAGUAUGAAUAAAGAUUUCCCUUUUUUGACACAUCAGUUUUAGAAAGAUACAUAACCAGAAAAGAAUAUAUAUAUAUAUAUAUAUAUAUAUAUAUAUAUAUAUAUAUUAAUAUUAUAUUAUAUAUGAAAUAUUGUGCAUUGGAAUAUUACAAAUGCUUCGUCCAUUUUAUAAUAUCCGAAAGGACUUUGCAAGGCUUAAGUUGGCCAACCUGUCCGCCACUUGGUUCUGUAUGUUCUAUUAAAAGAAUCAAUGCACAUACAUUUACAUUUAAUUAUUAGAGUUUUAUUUAUUUUAAUUGUAAAUAUUUCAUUUUAUACAACAAUUACGGCCUAACGUUCACUGGGACUUUAAAAUGAUAAUAUUCAACAAACUCUUCUCAUAUCGUGUAUGUAAUAGACUUAGUCUUUCUAUUAACGAACCGUGCGGCACUAGCUAUUUUCUACAAUUAAACAAAUAAACUAGUCAGUUUUAUUCUUCAAAUGCUAGGCAAAAUGCUAGCUAAGAUAGCAAGAAGAACAACAGAGAGCUUGAAAUAAUUUGGAUAGCUUUUAUUACAAAAAGAACUUGCUUGAGUUUCUCCUUGAUGGUUACAAAUGAAGUUCUUAAGCUCUUUAUAGGUCCCCACCUCCUCAAUGGACAGUCAUAAUUAAUUUGAUCUAAUGGCUAAAAUUAAGUAUCCAGAAUUUUCUAUAUAAUUCUAUACUUAUCUACAUAUUUUACAUGUCUCUAAAUUGUUCUAGAAUGUUCUAGAAUCCUCCUUUGUCUUCUAAAGAAUUCUAGAGACUUCUUCGUCCUUUGAACCUCAUUUGAGUAGGGAAAACUUGUAGGUUGUGACAUUCUCUCCCACUCUGGCAACACCCUCGUCGCGUCCUCCUUAUAUGCCUCGAUUAAGUCAUUGAAGUUCCACAAAGUGAGCUCGUGCUCCCAACUAGCUUUACUUUUGGGCAAUCCUUUCCACUUCACAAAAUACUUAACAUAGCUUGGAUGGGAACCCAUUCUUGGUAUAUGACCCAAUGUGCAAUUAUCUCUUUGGCUUCCUUCUCGGCUACGGUUGUGAUUGUUGUUGGAGCUCUCUUCGACUUGCCCCUACUUGGAUCUUCCUUCGUCUUCAUAGUAGGGCUUCAAUAAGCUCACAUGAAACACAUGGUGCAUUUCUAAGUGCGACGCAAGCUUCAAUCGAUAAGCUAGCUUCGCAACUCGUCGCUCUACUAGAAAAAGACCUUCAUAGCGCCUUAAUAGUCCUUUAUGCACCUUUGCGAACCUUCGACUUUGAUGGGGAAGGAGCUUUACCAUCACUAAGUCUCCUUCCUCAAACUCUAAGUGCCUCCUCUUUCCAUCCGCCCAUUUCUUCAUUCUCUUGGCAGCCUUGGUUAGAUGAGCGCGUGCCAUAUCGGUUUUAUCAUGCCAUCCUUUGACAAACUUGAAUGUUGCAGGACUAGGGCCUUUAUACCCUACGGCUAGUAUGUGUAGAGUCAAUGGUUGUUGUCCCGUGGCAAUCUCGAAUGGACUCACCCCUGUUGAUUCACUCUUCUGCAAGUUAUAUGAGAAUUAGGCAACAUCGAGCAACUUUGCCCAAUCACUUUGGUUGGCACUCACAUAAUGCCUCAAGAAUAACUCUAUUAAGGCAUUCACCCUCUCCGUUUUUCCAUCGGUUUGGGGAUGAAAGCUUGUAGAGAAGUUAAGCUCGAACCCCAUAAGCUUAAAUAACUCCAUCCAAAACCUUCCAUCUAAGCGAUCUUUGGUAUUGCCCCAAUAUUUCACCAUAUGUUUAAAAAAUACGCGUGCUGCAUCCUCGGCCGCGAACUUUGUAGGCACAGGAAUGAACACUCCAUAUUUGCUAAAGCGGUCCACAACUACCAUAAUGUUACUACAUCCUGCAGACUUUGGUAGGCACGUGAUGAAAUCCAUGGAGAUACUUUCCCAGUGCCUCUCUAGAACUAGUAAUGGCUUUAACAAACUAGUGGGCUUGUUUUGCUCCACCUUGUCUUGUUGACACACAAGACAAGUCUUGACAUAAAGCUCAAUGUCGUCCCGCAUCUGGGGCCAAUAGCAUCAACGCUUCACAAGUGCCAACGUGCGAUACGUGCCUGGAUGUCUUGCCCAUUUUGGACCAUGGCACUCUUUGAUGAUGGUCUUCCUCAAGCCUUCCCAUUUCGGCACAUAGACUCUAUUUCUCUUAGUAACGAGCACCCCAUCCUUUAGCCAAAAUUGGCGAGUCUUUCUUUUCUUCGCCAAUUCUACCAAAUUCUUGGCUUACGGGUCAUGCUCGAGUCCUUCAACAAUCCACCAAAGGAAAGUUAGCGCUAGUGAUGGAAGCCAACUCUGCCUCUCUACUUAGUGCAUCAGCCACUAAGAUUGCCUUUCUCAGCUUGUACUCUAUCACAAAGUCGAACUCCACAAGGAAUGCUUGCCAUCUUACUUGCUUCGGAGUUAGUUUCUUUUGAAAAAGUAUAGGUGCUCCAUAGGGUGCCUUGGAUGGCCUAAUGUAGCCAGCAUCCAACAACUCUUUUAGUUGUCUUUGCAACUCCUCUAACUUAGGAGGCACCAUGCGAUAAGAGAUUGCCGCAGGUGGACUUGCACUUUCUACCAACUCAAUCUUAUGGUCCCCCUAUCUCUUCGGUGGGAGCUUCUUUGGUAACUCCGCAGGCAUUAUGUCCUUGAACUCUUCUAGGAUACCCGUGAUCUCCUUAGGCGCUUCAUCUUGCGGCAUGGUUUCCACUCCUUCCUUUAGUGCCGCAAGGAAUGUGGGUUGAGCCUUCUUUUCCCCCUCGGAUAGUUUCAUGGCUGAGAUUUGCAUGGCUUCUAGCUUGGCUUCUCGUGUCAGUGGUACCAUGCAAGUAUAUCCUUGCUCUACGAUGCACGGAGUGUUGGCAAAUGGAAGUGGGAAUGAGUUUACUUUGUCUAGAAAUUCUAUGCCAAGCACCAUUUUAUAAUCAUCCAUCAUAACAAUGGAGAAGUCCAAGAGGCCAGACCACUCACCUAGGCUUACUUUGAUGUUUCGUGCAACUCUAUAUGUCACACACCGAAUUGACAGCCUUGAGCCACCCUUGCUCCUUUGUAUACUUGAUGCCAAGUCUUUCUACUUCUUUUACCUUAAGGAAAUUGUUGUUAGCCCCGGUAUCCAAUAAUGCUUCUAUCGUGUGGCCUUCAACCUUCGUCUCGAUGAACAAUCGACCAUUCUUUUCGGACUUAGGUAUCCCGAAUUUGGCUUUGAUGGCACUAAGGAGUUGCAAUGAUCCCAUCUUGGACCCCUCUUGUUCUCGUUGGUGCUCUUCCUUUUCUUCGACCAAUGCAGAGAGCUUGCUCUUCGUAGGGCACUCCCUUGCCUUAUGCGGUCCAUCGCAGAAGAAACACUUGAGACGUGGCCUGUCUCCGCCUUUGUCAUCCUUGUUACUAUGGUUGCCUCCCUCUUUGGGCUUGCCAAACUUGUAGGAACCUUCCUUCUUGUGGUGGCGGUCUCCCUCACUCUUUCUCUUAUCGUUCCUAUCUUGGUCGGGCUUGUGCUUGUCUUGCCUCUUAAUCUCUAUUAGGGAUUCGGCCACGGCAAUGGUAGUGUUGAGGUCUUGGACACUAUGAUGCUCCAACUCUAACCUUGCCCAAAUCUGCAACCCAUCUGUGAAUGAAAAUAAGGCUUAUUCAUCUGUAUAGUUAGGAAUCUCAAGGAGUGUGUCUGUGAAUUCUUUAACAUACUCCUUUAUGCUUCCCUUAUGUGAGAGUCGUUGUAACUUGGCCCUUGCUUCUCUAAUAGCAUUGUCGGGGUAGAACUGUUUCUUGAGAUCUUCCUUAAACUCUCCUCAUGAGUUGAUAAUGCAUGUCCCUUUCUUUAUGUUUCCACUCCUCCUUCUCCAUCAUAGCAUUGUGGUAUCUUCAAGGAAGAGUGUGGCAGUGUCGACCUUUUUGGCUUCUUCUACUAAGCCAAGUGCCUUAAAGUAUUGCUCCAAGCUCCAUAAGAAAUUGUCAAUUUCUUUCGCAUUCCUUGAGCCCUUAUAAGCUUUAGGCUUUGGAACAUCUAUCUUUGAUGGAUUAAAGACUACCAUAGGCACGCUUCCUGUAACACCCCCAUCACAUGCUAACCAAUAAACAUUAGCCAGGAAGCAUACAAGCGUCGUAGAAUAUAUACUACAGGUAGAUAGGUCAAUAUGUAGGUUGUUAAGAAUCCAGACACAAGGUUAUUAACAUAUAAACAUAUGAUUAUACUUAAACAUCAUUUAACAAGUAUUACAAACAUCUUCUUAUGCCUUAUAAGGCAUACUUCCAUAUAUAUCACAUAACUGCAUACAAAAAUGCAUUAGGAGGAGACUUCACAAAACUGGCCCAACUUGACAGAACUGCUAAAAGCUAGACUUCGCAUACAACCAACGGAUGCACUACUAUUUACAAACCUGAAAAGAAAAAUUUUGGAGAGGGGUGAGCCUCCAGCUCAGUAAAUAAAUAAUCAACAUAAUCUAUAUCACAUACACUUAAUACAAUUUCCACCCAAUCACAUAACUUUCCAUGAUAUUCAUAGUUUAGGUAUAAAGUCAUACCAUUCUACUCAAUUCAUUACAACCAUCAUAGAAGAAAUACAAUUCAACAAUUAUGGUUAGUUCUCACGGCUUGUGGAUCCCCUUUAAUGUGCUGCUCUGCCUCAUCCUCACAUAUCACACACGUAAGCUGCUCUGCCUCAUCUCACAUUAUACACUUUUAUAGUCUCUCUAGGCUUUAGCCUCCCAAGGCUUUAUAUAUAUAUAUUUUUUUUUUCACAGGGGAAUCCACCAUUCACAUGCACAUAUGCACUUAACAUCACAAUUUAAUCAUUUCACUUAUAUCAUAUUUCAGCAAUAACAAUUGUUCCACUCAACACCAAUCAUUUCCAUCUCAGUCAUUCAAACAUAAACAAUAUUAAGCAAACGCAACCAUUUGUGGAACAUUUGAUUAAAUAUAUGAACAUAGCAAAUAUUAACUAUUUACUUACUCAAAAUAUACUUAUUCCUUUAGCAUAUAAGAACCUCCUUUCUCCACAACUUCCUUUCCAGGCCUUUGAGUACCUGUCAACACAUUCAUCAAUUCACAUUUCAUGCAUAUUACAAAUAUUCAUGUAAAUGCGAGUUCUAAUGCAUUACAAGAUCAUCCCCUCUCUAAUUCAUAGGUCUAACUCUUCCUCUAACACUCUCAAUUACUAUUUUAAUAUCCUAUAAAUAUUUUCCAUCUAGUUAAAUACCAAUUUAACUCAAAUUAACAUCAAUAAAUUGCAUAAAACUAAUCUCCAACAUUUCUGUUUUCUAGACAGAAUUUAGUACCAAGGUAUAUUUAUUGCUGGGCAAAAUUGGCUUAAUACAAAAAUCUCAUAUUAAAUAGACAUAUCCAUUUAUGCGUCUAGUUUCAUCUCCAAGAAGAAUUACUCAAUUCCGACUUCUAUAGAUUUAAUUAUUUUCAAAUUACUGAGCAAGGGUCAUACAGCUAGUUGUACCCGAGCAGCAAUCUGUUUGCUUAAUUUAAGCAACCAAAACGGAAAAAAUAGCAAAAUUACAAAACUACAAAGUUAUAGAGGACUCUUUAAAUUUCCAUAGACACCAAUUAAGCUUAAUUUGGACUUAUAUAACCCAUGUUAUACCUAAAAUACAGAACAUCAAGGUUGCUGGAAUUUUGACAGUUUUCUAUCUUAACAUACUUAAACUUAAAUCAAGCUUAAUCUUUAUGCAAUCAUUCAAUACUCUACUAAUUCAUGAUAAUCAGACCUUUAAUUAAUCAAUGAGAGCAUCAAAUGAAGUUUUUCCAAUUUGUAAUCAAGAACCCUAAUGACAAAUUAAGAACACUCAAGUAACAACUUACCAAUUUCAGCUUUUGGGUUGCUAAUAUGCUUAAAUCCUUUAGCUUUAGCUUGGCUCCUUCAAUAGUUAGCAAAAUCCUAUCUUAAUCUUAACUUUUUCUAGGUAUUACACUCCUCUCUCUUAUUCCAAAUUUUGUGUUUUUGGCCAUGUACGAAUUUUAGAGAAAUGAAGAGGUAAAAUGAGCUUACUCAUGGUUCCAAUUUCCAAUAUUCCUCUCUUAAUGCCACCACCUACUAAACUAUUUUUAUCACCCUAAAUUAAUUCUUACUAACCAUAUAUAGGUACUAACUUUUAAUUGUAUCUUUUAAGUCCAAUCUAUUUACCCAACCUUCAACUAUUGGUUCAAUUAAGUCUUAAGGCUUAAUACACAUAACACAAGUACUUAAUCAACUUAUCUAAAUUAAUAAUCUAAUAUCAUGCUUCUUAUUCUCUACUUAUAAUUAAUAUAUAUAUGUUCUCAUAAAAUAAAAAUAUCAUUGAUAUACCAUCAUAUGCCCAAUGAUUAAAUGUAAAUGCACAUAACAUGGAUGAUGAGAAAAUGCAGGCGUUACACUUCCAUUCCUUAAGAAAUUUCACGUCCCUCGACCUUCCUCUCUCCUUCUUGGAUGGCUUGGACCCUUCAAGUUGGUCCUUCACAGACUCACUGUGAGGUUGCCUUACCUCCUCGGUAACUUUGGUAGUCUCACUUACUUCCGAUGUCUUUGCCAUACUUGCUUCUUCAAGGAUUGUGCUAACCUUGCUCUAAUACUAACUGUCACGAAGUUGGUCUUUCUACCACCAAACCGCGCGGCACUAGCUACUUUCUACACUCAAACAAGUAAGCUAGUCAGCCUUACUCCUCGAAUGCUAGGCAAAAUGCUAGCUAAGAUAGCAAGAAGAACAACAGAGAGCUUAAGAUAAUUUGGAGAGCUUUUAUUACAAAGAGAACUUGCUUGAUUUUCUCCUCGAUGGUUAUAAAUGAAGUUCAUAAGCUAUUUAUAGGCCUCCACCUCCUUAAUGGACAGUGAGGAUUGAUUUGAUCUAAUGGCUAAGAUUAAGUAUCUAGAAUUUUAUAUACAAUUAUAUACUUAUCUACAUAUUCUACAUGUCUCCAAAUUGUUCUAAAAUGUUAUAGAAUCCUUCUUUGUCUUCUAAAGAAUUCUAGAGUCUUCAUAGGCCUUUGAACCUCAUUUGAGUAGGAGAAACUUGCGGGUUGUGAUAUGUAUUACCGCCAGCAUUUUUUGAGACUUUUCUUAAAGGGAUAUUUUAUCAUCAAUCUAAUCACCGUGUAUAUUUUUUUUUUCUUAUCAAUAAAUAAAUUUUUUUACUUGUAUAAUUUAAAUGUCUCAUAUAUUUUUAAAAAAGUGAUUCGAUUUAUGAGAUUUGAUAUGAUACUUAUGAGAUCAAAAAAUCAAAUUUAUUUAUAAAAGUAAGUUCUUCUUCGUAUGGAGUUAAAAAAGAAGUUCGUCAAUCAAGAAUUUAAAAAAAAAGAUUAAACACUAAUAUUAGUAAAUAUAUGAUUUUCUAUAAAAGAAUUUUUUUUUAUAAUUAUUAUUAUUUUGACAAUGUUUGUAAAAUGCAACUCAAUAAUAUAAAUAAUUAGUUGUCUGAAAGUUAGAUUCAAUUUCUUCACCAUUUUGCUAAAUAGAUAUCAGUUUUUUUCAUAAAAAGAACUAUACAACCAAUUGAAUAAAAUUAAAUAAAAUGAUAAUUAAAUAUGAUGACUAAUAAUGUUGAUGACUGUGUAAUAAUAAUGGCGAUAGUUUUGAACACGCUAAAAUGCACAGUUUUGAACAUGUUGAAAAUGCUCCUCUUCAAAUAAAGUGAAAAAGGCUAAACUUCAAAAGGAAAAUAAAUUAAAAAAAAACUGUGGAUCCAUUUCAGAAUUCCAAAUCACAACAAGCGUAAUUCUGACGGCAUGCGCGUAGCUACUAUUUUUCCAUAAAAAUAAAAAUAAAAAUUCAAACUUCCUCACUACACGUUGCAGCUGCAGGUCACGCGCACGUGCAUUUACUGUGGCUCCACGUCGGACCAAUGGCAUCGAAUGGUAAUUUCCCUUUUAAUCCAUGUCUACUUCAAUAUUAAUAACCGUACCUUUUUUUCUCCAAAACCACUAGCUGCUGCUCUGCUGCUGCCUUUAGAAAUUAUGCGUGGAUCGUCAGAUGAACGUAGUCGGUGCACAUCCACGUGUCACAAUCCUCUUCGUCUGUUUCCAUUAUAAAUAAACAUCAGUCUAGUGUAAUAGAGUAGGCGCAGCAUGUAUCUAUCUAUAUACUUCCGUCUUCUGUCCUUUCUUUCCUUUCUCUCUUUCUGUCUCUCUUGAAAAUUCAGCAUCUAUUAUUUGGAAGAGAGAGAAAAAAAAAAAAAGAAUAAUGGAGAAGGGGAGAGAGAGUUGAUUCUGUUACCGGCGGUCUCUAAUUCGCUUGGUGCAGGUCGGGAACUGAUUGGCUUUUCUAUUUCUAAUGAUUUCCAGGCGGCGAAAAGUUAUUGGUCAAGAUUAGAUGGAAAGUGAAUUGGAUCCCGCCUUGCAUCAACUGAAUCGAAGACCGGGGUGAAGGGUUGGUUUCGUGGACCUUGAGAUUUUAUCUGCCGUUACUGUUCAGAUCUCAGGUUGGGAUUUUUUUGUUUUUUUAUAUAGUUUUUAUUUUCGGUGACGCUUAUUAUGGUGUAGCUGAUAAUUAAUUAGUUUUUGUUGGAUAUUUCGGCAUUCCAUGAUCUGAUAUUAUUUGGCAUCAAUAGAUCUAAAUAUCAGAUCCUUUUAAUUAAUUUUCUCUCCUUUAUUCUACUUUAGAAUGGAGGAUUCGCGCCGGUUCAUAGUAAUUGAAAAUAUUGCACAACAACAUUUAUUUGAAUCCUUUUUUAAGAAAAAGGAACUCCUUUUUGCUACAGUUUUAGUUUAAAACAAAAGAAAGAACUUGUGCCCAAUAGAGCUGGUUAUGUUACUUGUUAUUAGAAUUUGACCAAGUUGAGUAUCAAAUUAUUGAAAAUUUGCUUUGCCUUUUUUAUUUCUCAAUCUAGCUUUGUCUAAGGAAUAUGAUUAUUUUUUUAAUGUGAUUUUACAAAGUAAAUAUAUUUCUUUUUUCCUUUUGCUAGCGCUUGAGAAAAUGGCUUUCAAUUUAAUAUUCAUGUCAGUGCUUGUAGAACAUUUUAGUUUUCGCAAUUUCACAUGAAAUGUGAUAAAUGUUCUUGGAUAGAACUCAUUCUAAAAGCUAGCUCAAAGGAAGAGGUUGCCCAAUCCACUUAUAUAUAUUAUAAUAGCCCAGUAACCAAGUGAUGUGAGAUAAAUACAACUUCUAACAAAAUGCUCUUUAAUUUUAUAAGUUACAACUUCUAACAAAAUGCUCUUAAAUUUUAUAAGUUAUAUCUGUUUUGCUAACUGAUAAACAUAGUAACUGAGGACAUUUACUGUUUUAAAUUUUUCUCGUUCAGGACUAAAGGACUUGGUAAGUUUUCUAUAUAACAUAAUUGAAUAUAAAUGAAACUUAAUCAAACAAGAAAUAAACAGUACUUUUAUUGUUUGCUAAACAUGCUCAUAGAUUUUAGUUGUGGACACGAAUAGUUAUGCUUUGACAUUCUUGUACUAAGUUGCAGUUUUUCAGUGUCAUAUAACAUUUUGUUUUGUUUUGGUGAAUUGUCUACAGACUAUCAAAUCUACUAAUAAGCUUCUAUUCAAACACGGAAAGAAAAUGACAAUAUACAGGAUGGAUAGAAGAAGUCGUGACACUGGGCUUUAGGUUUAAAGUUUAGACUUCCUCUGUGUUUGGACCAAAACAAUAGAUAAGUUGAAUAAUUUUGCAAAUGAAAUUCAUGCAGAAUUCAUUUAUAAAUUAACAUUUUUCAGUGGUAUACAAUAUAUCAAUGCAUAGACUUUAUUGUAAAGUAUAGAUUUUGUUGUUUUGAAUCUCUUACAAACUUUGAGACUUUUUAUAGAAAUUGGUUUAGGAUGACCAACUCCUUGAAACCGAAACUUUAGGGUGGAAAUGAAACUGUUUGGGGUUGCAAACAUGUCAAGUAUGGAUUUACAAUUUAAUUCAGUGGCAUUUUAUGUCAGUAAUUUGCUACAAGCGACGUCUUUUGUUAAGAACUGAAGUAUAAAGUAAAAGAGAACUCAACAAUUCUGGAUAAUUGCAUGGCUUCUUGUUGAAUAAACUUAGGCUUAAAUGGCCUUUUACAAUGACAAUAGAAUGAGAAAAAACAAUGAGAAAAACAUGCUCACGUUAUUAACAAUUCAACAUGAAAAGUGCUAACAAUAAGAUUAUUCCAAAUAGAAAUCUUAAUUGAAUGCCUAAAAUCUCUCUUCAUAUCCCCCCUUAAACUAGUUACCAAGGACAACUAAUUUAACUUAGGAACACAACAAACUCCUAGCUGACUUCGAAACUUUUGAAAAACAUCCACCGUGAGGGGUUGUCAUCAAAUCAGCCAGUUGAUUUUGAGUCCCACAAUGAACUAAUUCAACUAUGCCAUCUUUUGUAAGAUCUCGAAGGAAAUGAAAGCGUACAUCGUUGUGCUUACUCCGGCCAUGUAACACAGGAUUUUUUGACAGUUUUAUUGUGGAACUGUUAUCACAAUAAAUUGUUGUGCACUUACUUUCCUCUUGACUCAGUUUUUCAAAUAUUCUUUUCAUCCAGAUAACUUGACUUGCACAUGCUGCUGCAGCCACAAAUUCUGCUUCUGUUUUUGAGAGCGUGACUAUAGGUUGUUUUCGUGAAGACCAUGCAACAGCUCCUGCACCCAACAUAAAAACAUAUCCUGAUGUACUUUUUCUAUCUUCAACAUCGCCUGCAUAGUCGCUAUUAGUAUAUCCAACCAGACUUUCGUAUCCUCCAUGCUUAUAGAAAACUCCAAAUCCUAUUGUGCCUUUCAAGUACCUUAGUAUUCUCUUUGCUACCAUCAAAUGCAAUUCAGUUGGAUUGGCCAUGUACCUGCUAAUCAGACUUGCUGCAAACAUCAAAUCUGGUCUCGUAGUGGUUAAGUACAUGAGGCAUCCUAUCAUUUGCUUAAACAAAGUUGCAUCCACAUGAACCCCACUUUCAUCUUUAAAAAGCUUACAGCCUGAAACAAUAGGAUUAUGAAUUGAUUUGCUAUUUUCCAUUUGAAAUCUCUUCAAGACUUCAAAGGCAUAUUUUCUUUGACAAAUAUAAAUACCAUCAGACCUUUGUAAGACUUUUAUACCCAAGAAAAACCUCAUUCUUCCUAAAUCAGUCAUAUCGAAUUCCCUCAAUAUGGAACUUUUAAAAUCACUAAACAUCAAUUCAUCAUUGCCAGUAAAUAUUAAGUCAUCAACAUACAAACUAACAAUGAGAAUUUUACCUCCGCUGCUUCUUUUAAUGAACAAAGUAUAUUCAUUAUGACACUUCUCAAACCCUUCGUUUGUGAAAUGAGCUUCAAUGCGACUGAACCAAGCUCGUGGAGCUUGUUUCAGUCCAUAUAGUGCUUUCUUCAAUUUAUAAACUUUUUGAGAAUUAUCUUUCAGUUCAUAACCUUUUGGUUGUUCCACAUACACUUCUUUCUUAAGUUCUCCAUGUAAGAACUCAGAUUUGACGUCAAGUUGAUAGAGUGUCCACCCUUUUAUGUGCUGCAAGUGCUACAAUCAUUCUCACCGUGUCCAUUCUUGCAACUGGUACAAAUACUUCUAUGUAAUCUAUCCCUUGCUGCUGCACGUAUCCUUUUACUACUAAUCGGGCUUUCAAUUUGUCAACUUCUCCAUUCUCCUUGAGUUUAGUUUUAUAAACCCAUUUCAAUCCAAUUGUCUUUGCACCUUCAGGAAGAUCAAUGAGUUCCCAUGUGUUGUUCUUCUCAAUAGCUUGUAUCUCCAUGUCCAUUGCUUGUCUCUAUUUAUCAUGUUUCACUGCUUCUUUAAAAUGAGCUGGAUCUACUGAACCAAAGAGAAUUGAAUUGACAAUUGCAUCUUCGUCUUCUGAAUCUUUUGAAAUUCCUUCCCCAGUAAUAUAAUCACGCAUCCAUGUUGGAGGCUUUUUAGAUGGUUCUUCAGUAUUUUGAGGACUGCCAAUAGACUCAGUGCUUGCUUCUUCCUCUCCAUUUAGUGCGUCUCUAUUCACAGUAUCAUUAUUGUCCCAUUCUAGAUCAACCAAUAUGUGUUCUUCAUAACUUUUAUCCCAACUCCAAGAUUUAUCUUCCUCAAAGACCACAUCUCUGCUGAUUAUGAUCUUCCUUGCAACUGGAUCAUAUAGUCUGUAUGCUUUAGACUCCUCACUUAUGCCCAAUAGCACACAAGCAAGACUCUUUGAAUCUAAUUUUUUUCUUUUCACGUCAUGAACAUGCACAUGUGCCAAACAGCCGAAAAUUUUGAAAUAAUCGAUUGAGGGUCUACUCCUACACCACGCUUCCUCAGGUGUUUGAUUCUUCACAGGGAGAGUAGGACUUCGAUUUAGAACAUGGAUUAUCCAGUUCACUGCCUCGGGCCAGAAAGUCUUCCGCAUUUCUUUCUCGGAUAGCAUGCAUCGAACCAUGUUCAUCAUGGUACGAUUCUUUCGUUUUGCUACUCCAUUUUGUUGCGGAGUGUAAGAUGCUGUCAAUUGCCUUUUGAUUCCAUGCUCUGUGCAAAACUCAUUAAACUCAUGGGAUGUGAAUUCUCCCCCUCUAUCUGUUCUCAGACAUUUGAUAUAUCCUCCUAUUUCCUUUUCUACAUAACUUUUGAAUUGUUUAAACAUGGUUAAUGCUUCAGAUUUCUCUACUAGAAAAUAAACCCACGCCUUUCUAGUAAGAUCAUCAAUAAAGCAUAAAAAAUAUCUCUUCUUACUAUUAGACGUAGGAGAGAUCGGUCCGCAAAUAUCGCCAUGAACAAGUUGAAGUUUUUCUGUGGCUCUCCAAUUGCUCGACUUUGGGAUUGGAUUUCUAUGUUGUUUUCCAAUCAUACAAUUCGCACACACCGUUGUUGGAGUUUCGAAUGGAGGUAGUCAAUGCACCAUGUUUUUAUAUUGGAGAGUCCUUAGCCCCUUGUAGCUCAAUGUCCAUAACGAUAGUGCCAUAAAGUUGCUAAAUCACACGUUGAAGUGUAGAGACAAGUUGAGUUUUGGGGCAAUGGUUCUGCCCGCAGCACAAACAUCCGAUUCUUUGCUAUCUCUGUCUGAAUUAUAAGCCCUUUGUCUGGAUGAUAGAAUUUGAGUGUUCCACCUUGAAUAAGAAUUGCCAGCCCUUUUUCUUGUAGUUGAACAAUGGUUAACAGAUUGUUCUUCAGCUCAGGCACAAAAAAUACUUCACGGACAGUAUAUGAAAAACCACUUACUUUCAAUCUCACAUUGCCUUUACCUAAUACAUUCAACUUUGUGUUAUUUCCCAGAGUCACCUUCUGCCUGAAUGUCUCAUCAAAGUGUUCAAACUCAUUCUUGUCGCCACACAUGUGAUUGCUGCAUCUAGAAUCUAGAAACCAAAUGUUUUUCCUUUGAUCAUCUUUCAUCUUCACAUAUGACAUGAGCAACCUCUCUUCUCCUUCUUCUUCUUGUUCAACAUAAUUAGCUUCUUUAUCCCAGCUUGGACAUUCAUAUUGAAAAUGCCCAAGUUUAUGACAUUUAAAGCGUUCUAUCGUUGCUUUAUUGUAGGACUGGCGCCUCCCUCUUCCUCUACCUCUGUUUGCACCUCGACCCCUUCCCUCUUGCACUUGUUUUGUCAUCAUGACUAACUUUGAGUGCUUGUUCUGUUCCUGCAUAUCGUUGAAUUUUUGCUCGUGAAGAAUUAAAGAACUCUGCAACUCAUCUAUGGAAAGUUGAUCGAUAUGUCUUUGGACUCCUCGAUUGCACAAACAACGUAAUUAAAAUUCUCGUUUAGAGAUCUGAGAAUUUUUUCAACAAUUAUGACAUCUUGCAUCUGCUCACCAUAUGUCCUCAUCUUGUUAGCCACUGUUAAGACUCUUGAAAAAUACUCAGAGACACCUUCUCCGAUUUUCAUCUCUAGAGUUUCAAACUCUUUGCGGGGAGCUUGAAGAUGUGAUCUCUUAACUCUAGCCCUUCCUUCAAACUUUCUCUUCAUGGAUUCCCAAAUCUGUUUGGAAGUAUUUUUCUCCAGAAUGGUUUCUAGUAUUGUCCGAUCUAUGGCUUGAAAAAGAAAGUUCUUUACUUUCAUGUCUUUCAGCCGUGAUUCCUCUAGCUUCUUUCGUUGUGCUUCUGUCUGCACUGUACCAUAUGUUGGUUCCUCAUAACCAAUUUCUACCAAUCCCCAUAACUCCUUUGAUCGUAGGAAAUUUUCCAUCAACAUGCUCCAAUGGUCAUAGUGACCAUUAAAGUGAGGGAUAGAUGGCUGCACAAAAUUCCCUUUGCUUGUUGUCCUGUUGUUGUAAGGACUUCAAAGUCUGUUGCUUUCCCAGUGGGGGCUCUGAUACUAAAAUGUUAAGAACUGUAGUAUAAAGUAAAAGAGAACUCAACAACUCUGGAUAAUUGCAUGACUUCUUAUUGAAUAAACUUAGGCUUAAAUGGCCUUUUACAAUGACAACAGAAUGAGAAAAACAUGCUCACGUUAUUAACAAUUCAACGUGAAAAGUGCUAACAGUAAGAUUAUUCCAAAUAGAAAUCUUAACUGAAUGCCUAAAAUCUCUCUUCAUCUUUAUGGUAUUUAAAUUAAUUAUAACAUUAUGUUUGGUUCAAAUCUUAUGUGGAAUUUUAAUUUCAAUUACAAAUGAUUUUAUAAUAGAAUUCAUUUGUAAAUGAAUUUUGGUAUUUGGUAUAUUUUAUAAUAAAUGUAGAAUUCAUUUUUAAUAUUUUUGUGUUUGGUUUAAUUGCAAAAAUCAAUUCAAUAUUUUAAAAAUGCCCUUUAUAUGUAUUAUUUUGUAAUUUAGAUAUUUUCUAACCAAAUAUUAAUUAAAAUGAGAGAGAGAAGAGAGAGAAAAGGAAAACAUAAAAAAGGGAAAGAGAGAGAACUAUGAUAUUCGAAUAGUGUACUUUUUUCAUAACAAUGAAAAACUCAUAAGCUUCGAGUUCGUUUGCGAAUUCUAUCAAAUUCGGUAGAUUUUGGUUGAAUUAUAACCAAUUCCAUGAACCUUAUGAGUUAGAAUUCCAAGUGGUUUUUCAUUUAUGCCAAAUACACUAAAUUUGAAAUUAAAAAUGAAUUCCAUAAAAACUUAUGGAACUCAUUUAUACCAAACACAGUGUAAAUAUAGUUUCCAAAUUCUUCUGGUUUCAUAGUAGAUGGUAGGUCAAUACUGGAUUGUUUUCUCUCUAGUUCUUUCAUGCUUUGUUCUAAAUGUAGUUUCCAUUGCUAUAUGAUGCUGGAACCAGGCUUAGGGUAACUUUUGUGUUUUCCUCUAUUCUAUUUGAAGUCAGUGUGAUAACAAUUCAGUUGUACUCUAGAUCACUUAAAAAUGUUUUCAAGUUUCUGUAUUGACAUCCUUGUGAGCCAGGGUGGAUGUGAAGGGUAACUCAUGAUGACACCAAAAUGUGCUAGUUUUAAUUGUGUUCUUUCACCUCUCUCUCUCUCUCUCUCUCUCUCUCUUGUGUAUCUGUGGAUGCAUAUGAAUGAAUGUUUGGAUGCAUGUUUACGUUAUGUAUGUACACUCGUAUUACCUAAACUCUUUAAGGUACUUUGUUUUGAUGAUGAAUGUUUAAUAGUAUUGAUUGUGACGCUUGAGGAUUGAACGGAAAUAUCCUGCUUAAUGUCAAAGCUUUGGGCUUCAUCAACUGCUCAUGUACUGUCCCUGCUCCAGAUUUCAUGGCUAUGGUAUGGUAUCUCAUUUUUCUAGCAUUUCCCAUCAUGUCAUAUAUAUUGUGGUUUCUAUGUGUAACAGUUGAUGUGCUGGAUAUGCAAUAGUGAAGUUUUGCUUGCUUGGUUUUACUGCCAUUUACCACUGGUUAGUCUCUACAUCAGUCGAUGUUUGUACUUGUGUGUUUUGUGUUUAGCAAUCUGGGACCCUUACAGUUUCAUUUUAUUAGCAAAAGGUAGCAAAAGGUUCCACUUUGACAUUGAAUCAUCUUAAUUUUUAUUUUCAUAUGCAUGCAUGCAAACAUUUGGUCUCUUGUUUUGUUGUUUGUCAAAUUUUCUAUUAGUGCACCUGCUUGUUCUGGUUACUAGCACUUGUGUUCAUCUUGGAGACUGUUCGACAGUUUCCAAUAUAUGGUAUUUGAUCAAAAUCACUUAUAAACCCCCUUCUUCUAGCCCAUCUAUUAAUGUACAAGUACUUUUUCCUUAACAACUAGUGGUAAACUUAAGGCAUUUCAUUGUAUUGGUGAUUUUAUACUCAUCUACGGAAUGUAUAACUAAGUAUCAGUGUCUUGAGGUUCAUUUGGAUGAUUGACUAAACAAAGAUUUUGCAGGUCUUGCUGGUUAGAACAAGAAAAAGAUUUGACUCCAAUUCUUUUUGGCAACUUGGCUUUGUUGCCCAGCAUCCUCUUUGAGAUUUGCAGGUUGUCGUCCUGGCAGUAUCCUUGUUAAGGUUUAUCAAGUGCUCAUGUUCUCUAACAUGCUGCAGACAUUCCACCCAACCCCCAACCCUUCCUUCUUCCAUCAUUGGAUGAUGCCAAGGAGGACUAGCUUACAACAGAAGUNNNUGUGCACUAAUAGCAGUUUCUCAUCUAACAUCAUUUGGUAAGAUUUUAAAAUCAACUGCUAAUAGUUAAUUUAAUCUCGGCCGUUAGUUUUAUCGAUUUUAUUUUAGAGUUUUUUAUAUGAUAUGAUAACUGAUUUGAAUUUUUUAUUUAUUUAUUUAGAUAUUAUUAUUUUUAUUAAAAAUUAUUAAUAAUAAUUUAUUUCAAGUUGAUUUUAUAUAAUUAUCUUUUUAUAAUUCAAUGAUAAAUAAUUAUUAUUUUCAAAUUCCACUAAACUAGCUCUAAAUUAAUAGUGGGAUUUUAAAGGUUGCUGCAGAUAACUGUCUUUUUCCUUUUUUAAUCCCUUCCUCAUCUUUCUCCAUGGUGCUGGACUGCAAACCGGGCAUUUCAUCUUAGGUUGGUGUAAUUUUAAAUCUCAACAUUUCAUCUUAUGCUAGCAAAAAAGGUUUCAAAAUGGGUCAUGACUAGUAACUGUUAAACACAAAAAAAUUAUAGAUUAUGGUUAAAUUGUAGCAGGUCUAGAUCAAUAAAUGGGUUGACCCGUUUAUGAUAUAGUUUAAAAUGAGUCAUGUAACAAGUUGAUUCGCAAGUCCGUUGCAAUCUGUUUAAUUUUUCGUGUGUUGUGUCGUAUAAAUUCCAUCUAAUCUAAAUUGUAAAUCUCUAAAAAAUAAAAUAAUUAUAUAUAAAAAUAAAAGUAAAUAAAAAUAAAAUAAUUAAAACGUAAAAUAUAACAAAUAAAAUCUAAUUAGUAUGACGAUCAUAUUAAAGUUUUUUAUUUAUGUGCCACCCUUCUUACAGAAAAAAAUAAAACUAUAAUAAAAUGAAUUGGUACUAUUUAUAUGAACUUUAAAGAUGCCUCUUGAAUAAUUGAAAUUUUUAUUUAUAAUUUGAUGUUGUCUCUAUUUAUUUUAAAAAAUAAUUUUGUAUAUGUUAAAGAUAUUAAAUUUUAUAUUUUUUAUAUAACAAGUUAAACGGGUUGUGUCAAGUUUAUAAUUCGUAUACAACUAUGUAAAUAAUAUUGAGAUAAAUUAACACCAUGAAUCAUAUUCGUACUAAUUUUAACCAUGUCACCUAAAUAAUUUAACUCAACACAAACACCGCCCAUGAAGAAGUUUUGACACCCCUAAUAUUUAAGGACAAAUGAACCGGAAAUUGGAGGAGAAAGGAGGCAUUCGCUUAUUAAGAGAUAAAGGCCCGUUCAUUUUUAAUAGAGAAAAUAAACUAUAAAACUGUACACAAAUUUAAAUUACAUGUGUCAAAAUAAGUACACAUAUCAAAAUAAAAAUUUUAUAUAUGAAAGAAAUAAAAGUGUGUCAAAAAAUCUUAAAUCUGAAUAAUAAAAUGAGUUUUUAAAAAAGUCUAUAUUUAAAUCAGACUUUAAUUUGAUUCAAUUUUGAGUCAAAUUGGAUUAGUACAAUCAAUGUUAAUUGUAAAAUAACUUUUCUAGAAAGCUCUAAAUGAGUUAACUUUCUUCUUAAAAAUAGAAAAGGGUUAGCUCAUCCACGAGUUUUACAACCCUAAUCAAUUAUUUAAUUAGUUAGAAUUUGAUCUAUUUAAUUCAAUAAAUAGUUUCAAAUAAUUUUUUUUAUAUACAUGCGGUACUCAAGUAAUUUACAUGUGACGAAUCUUUCUAUCAAAUUCUAUUGAUUUGAAUAAUUUGUAUGCAUUUCACAGAGCUCACUUUUAUUUGAGACUUUUUUAAUAGAAAAAGAAGUUAGACUUUUAAUCGUGAUAAUAAGUCAUUUAAAAUGUAAAAUUUAAUUGUCUGGAGGACACAACUGUAAAACAUCAAUCACAUAUAUGUAGAAGUUCUAAAUAAAGAAAAAGCAAAUAAAAACAGCAUGAUUUAUAAUGGUCACCAUCUUAUUAGAGUUAUGUCUACCAUAUUGACACUAACAAUUACAUACAUAUUUAUACUCUUAAACUCAUAUUUUAAUUUUAAUUUAAUAAACACUUAGAUUUUAUUUCUUACUCAUUCAAACAUUACAAAGUUACAUUUUAUAAGUCUCUAUUUAAAUUUUGAGUCCAACAUAAAUAAAUUUCUACUUUAAUUUAAAAUUUCAUCAUUAUAAGUUCUUUAGUGUCUUCAAUUUUCAAACCUUCAUUUGAGCUUUUAUCCUAUAAAAUUAUGAUUAGAAAAGUAUUUAUUUUCCAAGUUGCAGUUAGAUUUGAAGUCAUAUCCAACAUAUAAUAACAAAUUCUUUAAAAAUAUACAUAUAAAAUAAUUUUUUGGACCUCCGUUUGAAAGACCUAAAUGGCAACUCGCAAGCUCGUAUACUAUUAAUCGUUCGGCGAGCCCAAUAAAUAUGACAAUCAUGGGCAAUGCAGAGACCAAGAGUUGACUCUUUUCUUUUUAUUAUUUUUCACUUUUUACAUCGGCUUUAUUAAUUUUAAUUGGUUUUGUUUUUUAAUCAGGUUUAUUUAUUGCUAAAUUAAUGAGCUACUAGUAAAAAUCACGGAAAGGAAUAAUGAUUAUCUUCUUAUUUCCCUUUCUCUUUUCCUUUUUAAGAAAAAAAAUUCUUAUCAUCAAAUCGAUUUAUCAUUUUUAAUAUUUUGAUAGAAUAAAUAUUUUUAAAUAUUUUAAUAAAAAUAUCAAAAAAUGUGUGGGAUGGUAAGUUAAUAUGUUCUUUUUUAAAAGAUGGUGAAUUAAUAUAAAAUUUCAAGAAUUUAAAUUAAAUUUAAAAAUAAACAGCAAUAAAAUGAUUAAACAUCUCUACUUUUUUUUUUAAUUGAAAAGAGAUAACACUAAAGUAUCGAUCUUUAUUUUAAGUUGAGGGAAACUUUUUUUCUUUUUAUAGGUGAAAUUAAAAGUUAUUUAUUUUAAUAAGAUAAUACUUACAUACCUUUUUAAAUAUAAAAUAAAAAAAAAUUAGUUUGGUCCUUCACAUUUUUAGUUUUAAUAAAUAUAUUACAGAUUAUUUUAUUUUUUAUUGGCAAGAAUUAAAGAAGGAAAUUAAAACCAUUAGUAUUUAUAAAGAUAGAAAUAAAAUCAUGAAUAAAACAUAAAUAGUCUAUUGAAAAUAAAAUCUUUACUCUUUCAUAUCUAAAUAUACUUUAAUUUUUUUUUUUUAGUGUAUGAGUAAUAUUUUUAAAAUAAAAAGUAAAGAGUAUGAAUGGACACUCACUUUUUCAUCAUAAAAUUAAUAAUUUUUUUCUUUUUUCUUUUAAUUUCUUUAUUAUAUUUUUCAAUAUUAAGUUGUUUCCAAUAAGUGGAUAUGGCUCAACUAUCAUUAUUCUUGAAUUCUUUUCCUACUAUCUUCCUCUUUCUUUUAUUAUUUCUAUAAAAUUCUAAUUCAAAUUAGAAAAAUAUUUUUUUUCCAAGUUGCAGUGAGAUUUGAAGUCAUACACGGAAUCAUAAAUUUUAAAAAAUAUACAUAUAAAAUAAUUUUUUGACUUUUGUUUGAAACUCUUAAAUAGAUCUAAAUGACAACUCACAAGCUCGUAUACUAUUUAUCGUUAGACGAGCCUACUAAAUACGACAAUCAUAGGCAAUGCAAAUACCAAGAAUUGACUAUUUUUCUUUUUAUUAUUUUUACUUUUUACAUCGCUUUAUUAAUUUUAAUUGGUUUUGAUUUUUAAUUAGUUCUAUCUAUUUCUAAAUUAAUGAGUUUAUUAAUAAAAAUCAUGGAAAGGAAUAAUGAUUAUUUUCUUAUUUCCUUCUCUCUUUCCUUUUCUCCUUUUCUUUUCUAAGAAAAAUCUUAUCAUCAAGUUGACAUGUUUUUUCUAAUAUUUCAAUAAAAUAUAUUUCUCUUUAAUAUUUUGAUAAAAAGAUCCAAAAAUGUACACAUGAGAUGGUGAGUUAAUAUAUAUAUAUUUUAAAAAGAUGGUAAAUUAAUAUAUAAUUUUAGAACUUUAAACUAAAUUUAAAAAUAAGCAGCAAUAAAUGAUUAAACCUUGCUACUUUUAUUCUUAAUUGAAAAGAGAUGACACUGAAGUAUCAAUAUUUAUUAUAAAUUGAGGGAAUUUUUUUUUUAAGAGGUGGAACUUAAAAGUUAUUUACUUUAAGGAGUUAUCUUAUAAGAUAAUGCUUAAAUAUAAAAUAAAAAAUUAGUUUGGUCCUUCACAUUUUUAGUUUUAAUAAAUAUAUUAUAAAUUAUUAUUAAUUAAUUUUAAUUUUAUUUUUUAUUGGCAAGAAUUUAAAAGAAAAGAAAAAUUUAAAACCAUUAGUAUUUAUAAAAAUAGAUAUGAAAUCAUGAAUAAAACAUAAAUAGUCUACUGAAAAUAAAACCUUUACUCUUUUAUAUCUAAAUAUAUUUUAGAAUAUCUUUAUUGUACGAAUAAUACUUUUAAAAUAAAAGUAAAGAGUAUGAAUGGACAACACUCACUUCUUCCUCAUAAAAUUAAUAUUUUUUUAUUUUAAUUUUUUUAUUAUAUUUUUUAAUAUUAAAUUCUUUCCAACAAUUGGAUAUGGCUCAGCUAUCAUUAUUUCUGAAUUUCUUCCCUAUUAAUAAUCUUUCUCUUUCUUUUGUUAUUUCUUAACUCAAAUAUUAAUAUUGAAAUGAAUAAAAAGAAAAAUAGGUUACAAAUCAAGUGCUCACAAAUAUUUAAAUAUGAUUUUUUAUUAAUAAAUCAAAAGAAUAAAAAAAUCCAAUCUUUUUAGUGAUUUUUGUUAGUAUUACUUUUCCAAACUAAAAAAAGAAAAAAGAAAAAGAGAAAAAGAAAAACUAAUAAACAUUUCACGUAUGAGAGACCGAAACAUAAAUAACUGGUGGUACAUAAAGAGUAGACAUAAAAAUAUUAGGUAAUACAAUACCAAUAAACUCCUAAAACAAAUUCUAAAAUUCCAAAAUGGUCCAAAAAGAGAGCCGUGGUGGUAUUUGAAUCACCACAUUCUAGUGAACGAAACCCUCUUCUCUUUCGCAAAGCCCAAACCCUAACCCUUGGCGGCUGUGAAAACCUCUCCAGUCUCCUCCUUUCCCCCUUUUUUUUUCCCUCGUCUCUCUCUCUCUCUCUCUCUC